This 1229-nucleotide ribosomal RNA is filed under the name Candidatus Phytoplasma trifolii. RNAcentral's name for it is "bacterial SSU rRNA". It matches the Rfam family "Bacterial small subunit ribosomal RNA", at positions 223 to 1454 of the family's 1533-position model. The record is from RNAcentral. Lineage: Bacteria; Bacillati; Mycoplasmatota; Mollicutes; Acholeplasmatales; Acholeplasmataceae.
AGAGGGGCUUGCGCCACAUUAGUUAGUUGGUAGAGUAAAAGCCUACCAAGACGAUGAUGUGUAGCUGGACUGAGAGGUUGAACAGCCACAUUGGGACUGAGACACGGCCCAAACUCCUACGGGAGGCAGCAGUAGGGAAUUUUCGGCAAUGGAGGAAACUCUGACCGAGCAACGCCGCGUGAACGAUGAAGUAUUUCGGUAUGUAAAGUUCUUUUAUUGAAGAAGAAAAAGUAGUGGAAAAACUAUAUUGACGUUAUUCAAUGAAUAAGCCCCGGCUAACUAUGUGCCAGCAGCCGCGGUAAGACAUAGGGGGCGAGCGUUAUCCGGAAUUAUUGGGCGUAAAGGGUGCGUAGGCUGUUAGAUAAGUCUAUAAUUUAAUUUCAGUGCUUAACGCUGUCUUGUUAUAGAAACUGUCUUGACUAGAGUGAGAUAGAGGCAAGCGGAAUUCCAUGUGUAGCGGUAAAAUGUGUAAAUAUAUGGAGGAACACCAGAAGCGUAGGCGGCUUGCUGGGUCUUUACUGACGCUGAGGCACGAAAGCGUGGGUAGCAAACAGGAUUAGAUACCCUGGUAGUCCACGCCGUAAACGAUGAGUACUAAGUGUCGGGGUAAAACUCGGUACUGAAGUUAACACAUUAAGUACUCCGCCUGAGUAGUACGUACGCAAGUAUGAAACUUAAAGGAAUUGACGGGACUCCGCACAAGCGGUGGAUCAUGUUGUUUAAUUCGAAGAUACACGAAAAAUCUUACCAGGUCUUGACAUACUCUGCAAAGCUAUAGAAAUAUAGUGGAGGUUAUCAGGGAUACAGGUGGUGCAUGGUUGUCGUCAGUUCGUGUCGUGAGAUGUUAGGUUAAGUCCUAAAACGAACGCAACCCUUGUCGUUAAUUGCCAGCACAUAAUGGUGGGGACUUUAACGAGACUGCCAAUUAAACAUUGGAGGAAGGUGAGGAUUACGUCAAAUCAUCAUGCCCCUUAUGAUCUGGGCUACAAACGUGAUACAAUGGCUGUGACAAAGAGUAGCUGAAACGCGAGUUUUUAGCCAAUCUCAAAAAAGCAGUCUCAGUUCGGAUUGAAGUCUGUAACUCGACUUCAUGAAGUUGGAAUCGCUAGUAAUCGCGAAUCAGCAUGUCGCGGUGAAUACGUUCUCGGGGUUUGUACACACCGCCCGUCAAACCACGAAAGUUAGCAAUGCCCGAAAGCAGUAGCUUAACUUCGCAAGAAGAGGGAACU